Molecule: long non-coding RNA, 781 nt
Organism: Malurus melanocephalus (red-backed fairy wren)
Lineage: Eukaryota; Metazoa; Chordata; Aves; Passeriformes; Maluridae
Exons: 4
Source: RefSeq, a predicted model, not a curated record
CUCCUCAGGUUCCGCCGCUUCAACAUCCUCACCUCGAGCAGCAAAACGCUCCUGGCCGGGGACAGUCCCCAGGAAGGGCUCGUCUGUGACUUCCAGUACCUCACGCUGAAGGAGCAGAAGGACAGCAGGGCCGGCAAAGGCAAAGGCGGCGCUGGAGAGGGUCCCUUGGCAGUGACAGAAGAGCUGCACCUCAUCACCUUCACGCUGGCUUACGCCUACGGCGAGCUGGAGCUGGAUCUGGAGACCAGCACGCUGCCCUUCGUCAUCAUCUCCAACAACGCGCAGCUCUCCAGCGCCUGGGCCGCCGUGCUCUGGUUCAACCUGCUGAGCGCCGACCCCAAGGUGCCACCGCCGUGUCCCCAAACAUGUCACCCUGUGCCACCGCCGUGUCCCCAGAAAUGUCACCCUGGUGUCCCCAAAACUGCCACUGCCGUGUCCCCAAAACUGCCACCGCCGUGUCCCCAAAAAUGUCACCCUGUGCCACCACCGUGUCCUCAAAACUGCCACCGCUGUGUCCCCAAAACUGCCACCGCCACGUCCCCAGAAAUGUCAUCCUGAGCCACCACUGCAUCCCCAGAAAUGUCACCCCCGUGUCCCCAAAACUGUCACCCUGGUGUCCCCAAAACUGCUACCGCCGUGUCCCCAAAACUGCCACCGCCGCGUCCCCAAAAAUGUCACCCUGUGCCAUCAUGGUGUCCCCAAAACUGCCACCGCCGUGUCCCCAGAAAUGUCACCCUGGUGUCCCCAAAACUGUCACUGCGGUGUCCCCAAAACUGCCACC